This 496-nucleotide ribosomal RNA is filed under the name uncultured bacterium. RNAcentral describes it as "partial 16S ribosomal RNA". It matches the Rfam family "Bacterial small subunit ribosomal RNA", at positions 28 to 507 of the family's 1533-position model. The record is from RNAcentral.
GAUGAACGCUGGCGGCGUGCCUAAUACAUGCAAGUCGAGCGAACAGACGAGGUGCUUGCUCCUCUGACGUUAGCGGCGGACGGGUGAGUACACCGUGGGAAACCUCCCUUUGAGCGGGGGAAAACUUUUGGAAACGGAUGCUAAUACCGCAUAAAAACUUUAACCACAGGUUUAAAGGUUGAAAGAGGCUUUUGCGUCACUUAAAGAUGAUCCCGCGCCGUAUUAGCUAGUUGGUAAGGUAACGGCUUACCAAGGCGACGAUACGUAGCCGACCUGAGAGGGUGAUCGGCAACAAUGGAACUGAGAAACGGUCCAGCCUCCUACGGGAGGAAGCAGUAGGGAAUCUUCCGAAAUGGGCGAAAGCCUGACGGAGCACGCCCGGGUGAGUGAUGAAGGUUUUCGGAUCGUAAAACUCUGUUAUUAGGGAAGAACAAAUGUGUAAGUAAAUAUGCACGUCUUGACGGUAACUACUCAGAAAGCCACGGCUAACUACGUG